GCGGAGGAAAAGAAACCAACAGGGAUUGCCUCAGUAACGGCGAGUGAAGCGGCAAAAGCUCAAAUUUUAAAGCUGGCAUCUUCGGUGUCCGCGUUGUAAUUUUGUGAGGCAUCUCCGGGUAGGGCGCCGGCCUAAGUUCCUUGGAACAGGACGUCACAGAGGGUGAGAAUCCCGUGCUUGGCUGGCUGUCCCCGUCCAUGUGAGGUGUCUUCGACGAGUCGAGUUGUUUGGGAAUGCAGCUCAAAAUGGGUGGUAAAUUUCAUCUAAAGCUAAAUAUUGGUGGGAGACCGAUAGCGCACAAGUAGAGUGAUCGAAAGAUGAAAAGCACUUUGAAAAUAGAGUUAAAAAGUACGUGAAAUUGUUGAAAGGGAAGCGCUUGAGACCAGACUUCGGUAGGGGGUGAUCAGCCGUCCUUCUGGGCGGUGCACUUGCCCCCCUCCGGGCCAGCAUCGGUUGAGGCGGCGGGAUAAAGGUCCCGGGAAUGUGGCUCCUUCACGGGAGUGUUAUAGCCCGGGUGAAUGCCGCCAGCCUCGACCGAGGACCGCACCCGCAAGGGUUAGGAUGCUUGGCAUAAUGGUCUUCAGCGACCCGUCU
This is a ribosomal RNA of 594 nucleotides. It matches the Rfam family "Eukaryotic large subunit ribosomal RNA", at positions 50 to 654 of the family's 3401-position model.